RNAcentral lists this long non-coding RNA (319 nucleotides) under Elaeis guineensis (African oil palm). RNAcentral's name for it is "long non-coding RNA (EGUI_LNC040757)". The record is from RNAcentral. Lineage: Eukaryota; Viridiplantae; Streptophyta; Magnoliopsida; Arecales; Arecaceae.
GUAACUAUCGUACAGUCGAGGAGGUGAUGGUUGUCGAAUCCUUCUUGGAGGACUACGGGAUCAAUGAUUUUGACCCUCAUUAUUCUGCCUCGAAGGCGGGGAUCAGAAGCACUGGCAUUUUUUCUCUUCUCAUCUUGAAUGGCUCUCCUUGCUGGAUCCCACCACGGUUGAAUCGACAGGAGUAUCAUCGACAAAGGUCUUUUCCAUGUAGAUGUACUUUUCUGCAUGGACAAGCAUAUCCAAAAAAUCUCGAGGAUAAAUCUUAACUAACGAUUUUUUCAAAUCGUUCUUUAAGAGAUCGCUCAUCAUUACAGCCAUC